Molecule: RNA transcript, 4238 nt
Organism: Macrobrachium nipponense
Lineage: Eukaryota; Metazoa; Arthropoda; Malacostraca; Decapoda; Palaemonidae
Gene name: prostaglandin reductase 1-like
Exons: 10
Source: RefSeq, a predicted model, not a curated record
AAGCUGCUAUAAUUAGUAGUUGUUGGUCUGGGCGUGACACUACCAACCAAAAGUCUGAUUCCGUCGUCCCCUAAUAUCGUUUUUGCCCAAAUUCAAAUUAGGAAGAGAAGUUGGCUUUGUCACACAAGCAUUCUGUUGUAUCGACAAGAAGUGGAAGCUGACGAAUCCGAGGUUGUGUCACUGACAAUGCACAUCCAAUCAGUUCCGGCUCUGAUUCUUGAUUUGUAGAAGGGUGGAGUAACCAGAAUCACAUAAAUAGGUAGUUGAAAAAGAAGUGAGCAAUAAUGGUUGUUAGUAGAGUAUGGUAUCUGACAAGAAGACCGGAGGGGUUGCCUAGGAAAGAUGACUUUACGCUAAAAGAGGAACAGCUUCCGCCUUGUGAGGAUGGAGAAGUUAUUGUUGCAGCAGAAUAUGUAAGUGUUGAUCCUUACUUGAGGUACCGAGCAAGACAAAUUGAGCUUGACACUGUCAUGAAUGGCACAGCAGUAUCCCGGGUCAUUGAAAGCAAGAACAGUGAGUGGCCUGAAGGUUCGUAUCUAGUUCAUAAUGCUGGAUGGCGCACACAUGCUUUAAUAAAGAAAGAGAAUUUGGAAAGUUCAUCUUAUUUUGGUGGAUGUAUCCGGCUUCCUGACUAUCAAGGCCUACCUCGAAGCUUAAGUUUAGGGGCUUUAGGAAUGCCUGGCAAUACAGCAUAUUUUGGAUUCCUUGAAAUUUGUAAGCCAAAGGCAGGAGAAACUGUAUUGGUUAAUUGUGCGGCUGGAGCUGUUGGCAGCCUUGUAGUCCAGAUAGCAAAACUUAAGGGAUGUAAAGUUAUAGGUUUUACUGGUUCUGAUGAAAAAGUUUCAUACUUGAGGGAAAUUGGUGCUGACCAUGCCUUCAACUACAAAACUACACAUAUAGGUGAGGCCCUAGAGAAGGCUGCACCUGAGAAGAUAAACUGUUAUUUUGAUAAUGUUGGAGGACAGUUUACCGCUGAAGCUCUUCCACACAUGGCAGACUUUGGUAGAAUCUCAAUAUGUGGUGCUAUUUCCACUUACAAUGAUGAAUCAAAGGACAUUGGAAAAGUAUCUAUGACCAGAAGACCAGAAGAAAAGAAGCAAGAAUUUUGGGAAAGGUUUUCAGAAGCAGUGGCAGAUGCCAGAUGGAAUAAUGAUAGGAUGAGACAUGAGUGGCCACAUAAAAAUAGACUGAGAUGGUUUGAGGAUAUGAUGGGUGGAUACAGCUUAAGAGGGAGAAACAUUAUUGAAAUUUUGUCACAGCCAAUAAUUGAGAUUAAGAAAACUAUUUUUGAGAAGCCACAAGAGAAAAUUUGGUAGCAUACAAGAAGGAAGCAGAAACUGUUUGACUCUUAUGAUGAUAAAUACUGAUGGCAUCAAAGAUAAGGGUUCUACUGAUGUACUGGACAAGGCUUAUCUAACACAGCAGAUUACUGUAAGCUAAUGUAAUGGUGAUGGGUCAGAAAUAAGAUGAAAUAAUAGCAUAUCUAAAGAAAAAAAUACGCUUGGAAACUGAAUAAUCAAGUUAAAAAGGAAUAUUAAGUGAUAGGAAGUAUAGCAUCAAAAAGGUGUCAGUGGAAAUUGCUGAAAAAAGAAAACAUACAAACAGCAGCAGAAGAAUAUUGAAUGACAUCAGGGAAGGGUUAUAGAGAGAGAAACAUGCUGGGGGCAUGAUAUAUAAAGGGUAAUUAAAAGAGAAGAGAACAUUUGAGCUGUGGUAAAUGUUAGGCAGGGGUGGGGAUAGAGAUGCAAAGUUUAAAAGGAAAAUGAGGAGGGAGGCUAUAGUACAGGUGGGACGGUAAGAUGGAGGAGUUAGAAGGAAUGUAAUCAUCAUCUCAACACAGCUGAAGGAAAAGAGGAAAUAUCAAAGAUAGCAAAGUAGCUGCAAAAAGAUGUAAAUAAGGCAAAGUACACAUAACCCCCGCUAUUGCUUGUUCCGCUAUAGCGUUUUGCGGCUAUUGCGUAGAUUUAAAAAUCUCCCCCAACUUGCUUAACGCGCACCAAAUUGGCAGCUAUUGCACGCCUUGAUAUCACGACUGGCGGCCAUGUCCUGAUGUCACGGCGGCAACACUGCGCCGAUUGGUGGAGGGUUUGUUUACAAGUCACUAGUAUUGUACACAUAAUCACGCGAUGUGCAAUGUGUCUGUGUGUCGCGUGAUAGCAGCAAUAUUUUUUGUGAAAGUGUCACAUAAUGGCCAGUAACCCUCCAACCCACCCCCCUACGAUUGGUGAGCGUAAUAAAAUGGCACCGAAGAGAGAAGUGGAGAAGCGCAAGAACCUGACUUAUACUCAGAAACUGGAAAUAGUUAAGUUGGUUAAUGCUGGUGAGACCAAGCACAGCAUAGGGAGGAAAUUUGAAAUUAAUGAGUCCACAGUAAGAGGCAUUUACCAGAAACGUGAGCAUAUCAGUCAUAUGAUGCUGUCAGCCUCUGAAGGAACCAGCAAUGCCUUGAGUAACUGUAAUUUGGUGCUACUGAAGACUGAGCGGCUGCUAACAAGAUAUUUGGAUAGGCAGGCACAACAGAACCAUGCUGUAGAAACGCGCGAGAUAAUGGCAGCGGCGAAGGAGUUGUAUAAGGGUGUUGUAGUGAAGAUGGGCAUUCAGCAACCGCCACUGUUUUUGCCGUAAAAAGGAUGGAUGGACUGAUUUAUCACACGCCAUAAAGUCAAAAGUAAGGUGAUAUCAGGUGAGGCGGCAAGUGCAGAACAUACAGCAGCACGCGAGUACCCAGCGACACUGAAGCACAAUAUUGAGGGCCAGUACUAUACUGUUGACCAAAUUUUCAAUAUGGAUGAGACCAACUUCUGUUGGAAGACCCUUCCUCGUUGCAUGUUCAUCACGCCUCUUCUGUCAAAGUGUGAGGAAGGAAGGCCAUCAAGGAGAGGGUUACUCUCUUGUUUGCCAUGAAUGCCUCAGGAACUUGCUGCCUUAAACCAACAAUAAUUAAUUGAGCAAAGCAACCACGCGCCUACAGGCAUCAUGACAUGAAGAAACUCAAUGUGCACUGGAUGACUUCCAGGAAGGGUUACAUGUCAGCGAAACUGUCUAUGGACUGGCUGAAGGAAGCAUUUAUCCCCCAGGUGGAGAAGUAUUGCAGUGACAAUAAUGUGAGAUUUAAUAUUCUGUUGCUCCUUGACAAUGCCCUGGGCCACUCACCACUUCUGAGAAGCGAAAAUCCUGAUGUAAAAGUGGAUUUUUUACCUCCAAUCAUGACCUCACUGAUCCACCCUCUUGAUCAAGAAGUCAUUUCUGUUGUGGAGCUUGCAUACUCAAGGCAACAGUUCAGAAUUAUCAGGGCAGCCACCAAGGAUGAAGAGCUAAUGCAACACUUGAUUGACAAUGGUGAUGAUGCUGAUGAUGAUUUCGAUGAUUGAAAGCUGAUAACGAACAUGAAAAGAAAGUGCUGUUGUAUUGGAAAAAUUAUAAUAUUAAGCAAGAAAUAGAUUUAGUGGUGGACUGUUAGAACAAUGUGACCUGAAAAACAAGUCAUCACGCCUGGCGCAAUGUGUUGGAGGGCUUGCCUGAAGGUGAGCUGCAGUCAGUGCACGCGGAGGCUGAGGCAGCUGCAGAGGAGGCACAGCAAGUUCCUGAAGGUGGUUUUGAGGACACAACAGAGAGUGAAAUUCUCAAAAUGGUACAGCCAGCCCCUGUUACAGUUUCUGACAUCAUGGAAGAGGAAGAGGAGAAGAUGAGGAGGAGGAGAGGGUCCCUGUUACCACCUGCGCGGGACUCACCAUAUUGAACAUCAAGGAACUCAUCAACUUGGGUAUCAGGAUGUGGCACAUCCUUGAGCAAGAUGCUACCAUCAACUGUGAGGAAAGAUGUUCUCAUGUUGAUAAAGCAUUGGAAGGUUACAAUGAACAGUAUCAUGCCCGCAUCAACGCCCUCCAGCAAUGCCAGAUCGCAGAUUUCUUACGCUGUUGCACCGAGUCUCAGCCAGCCCACCCUCAACCAGGACCGUCAAAUGAGAUUGCUUGGAAUGAUGUUGAUGAUUUUGAGGGCUUUGAAACUUCUGCAGCCAUAGAUGACUUCCUCGACGAGAUACAACGUCAAGUGGGUGGUCAAUAACAAGCCUUGGAACCCCCCUCUAACCCACCUAAGCCCCUCAUCAUCCUCAAAAAGGUCCAUAUAGUGAAGCAACUAUUUUGUGGAAGCAGCUUAGAGUGGAAGGGUUCAUUGUCGUACGCUGGCAAGAUAGGUGGACAGAGGGAAUAGAGCAAAUAAAACAAUGGAUCAAAGAG